UCCCUGCUGGCUCAGACGGUAGAGAAUCUGCCUGAAAUGUGGGAGACCCAGGUUUGAUCCCUGGGUUGAGAA
This 72-nucleotide transfer RNA is filed under the name Bos taurus (domestic cattle). It matches the Rfam family "tRNA". Rfam says of the family: Transfer RNA (tRNA) molecules are approximately 80 nucleotides in length. Their secondary structure includes four short double-helical elements and three loops (D, anti-codon, and T loops). Lineage: Eukaryota; Metazoa; Chordata; Mammalia; Artiodactyla; Bovidae. The record is from Rfam by way of RNAcentral.